RNAcentral lists this long non-coding RNA (2343 nucleotides) under Sus scrofa (pig). RNAcentral describes it as "lncRNA (ENSSSCG00035019887.1)". The record is from RNAcentral. Lineage: Eukaryota; Metazoa; Chordata; Mammalia; Artiodactyla; Suidae.
AGGCCCACGAGCGCUGAAUCAGCUGCUCCCGCUGCUCCCAUGUCGCCCUGUCCCCUCCCGGGCAAAGAUGCUGGUGGCAGGGGGCGGGGGGUGAGGGGCUCCCUUCGGGGACCUGUCAGACGACUGGGGAUUUUCUGGAAAGUGGCUCCUGCAGGAGCCGGGCCUCCCGAGAGUGAGAGGAAGGGCCUUCCCGGAAGAGAGGGCCCUUCCAGACAACACCGAAGACGGAGAAGCCAGCGGCCGGCCUGCGCGCAGGGAAGGAAGCGGCUCCCUCCUGAAGGCGCUGAGUCAGCACGGAGCCAGCGCCUGCCACCCUCCCUCGUCCAAUCAGGCGCCGCAGGGACAGGGACCUCUCAAGCUUCAGCGGCGAAGGCUUCUGCCCCGGCCCUGACCUCCUGACCUCCGCCUUGACACCUGCUGCCCUCCAGACACUCCGCUCCCGCCAGGGAUCUCCGUGCAAACCUGCCCAUCCUCCUGCCAGACCUCGCCCCCCGCCCCCACGGGCACUGUCCCCCCGCCCGCCCUGGGCCAGCCUCCUGCUCUGUGGCCGCUGUGCUGCCGCCCCCUCCCAAAUCACCGCUGUCCAGGGGCCGCCUCCCCUCCCAGCAGAGGCACAGCUCCCCUGGGACACAGGGUGGACACAGCCAGCUCCCGACUGCGGCGCCCAAGGGUCCAGGGACAUCUCCUGGACGGCACCCGAGCAGGUGACCGGGGCACGGUCUGCACACCCACACAGCCUCUGCCUUCCCGCGGUGGCCGGCUCAGCACGUGCUCUUUGAAAAUGGUGACUGUCCCCAGGGGUCGUCGGGUAAAUUUGGCCAGAGGAUUGGGGCCCAGCAGGAAGGCCCCAGCCCCUCCCCAGCACCUCAGCUCCCACAGGCUCGUGGUACUAGAAACCCCAUUAGCACCUGGCAGGUGUAGUGCAUGGUCCAGGAGGGCGACCAGAGCCCUGGGGGAGGGGGGGUCAGACCCAACCCCAGCCGCUCAGCCUGGCAGCCCCGGCUCCUGCACUCAGGGCCCCACGGGGCUGGCAGCGCCUGCCCCACAGUGCAGACAGCACCCCCACCGCACAGCACCGGCCCAGAGACCUGCCGACGGCAACACUGCCACUCGCCCCAAACCAGGAGAGGCCAUGCGAGGGGGCCUGUGGAAGAGGCAGGAAGCGGGCAUCCCCGAGGCUCCGGCAUGGUGAGGACAAGUCUGGGACAGUGCCAGCCACUGCCACCUGCUGCCAGUGCAGCCAGCGUGCCCGCGGGUGGUCUCACGUUUGGUUCACUCCUGUGCCUGGAUCCACCUUCCCCACAUCGCCUGGAGCCCGUGAGAAAUGAAGACCCCAGGCCCAGGUCUGGGGACAAGGGGGCCGCCUGGGAAGCAGUGCGCCCACCUGAGCCUCGAAGGCCUCGUCAGACAAAAGGCAACACCCAAGGGUCCUCGCUGCUUGGGGGGUGGGGGGCCCCAGGCUUUCACAAGGAUUUUACCAACUCUGCCAUCGAAAGCUAAACCCCAAAAGGACUUUUUUUUUUUUAAAUGAGAGUUGCAACGUUUACUUCAGGUUCUCUUUUUUGGUUUAGGGGUUUGUUUGUUUGUUUUUGCCACAGAGGCGCUACAGGGGAAUUCCUGGGCCAGGGAUCGAACCUACGCCGCACAGCGGCAACCAGAGCCACAGCGGUGAGAAGGCAGGAGCCUCGACCCGCUCGGCCACCAGAGAACUCCCAGACUUGGGUUGUUUCCCUCUGAAACAUUUAGUUCCACAAAUUCCGGAGGCAGCAGCCAGGCUCGCCUUCCAAGGGCGCGUUCUGGUGCCCAUGGCCGCGUGGAAGGACGCCACCCUCAGCCCCGCGUGGAAGGACGCCACCCUUAAAGAGAGGAAUGUGGGUGUCCCUGCCCAGAAGCCGGAGGCCUUUGUGAAAUAAAGACGCUGAAUGAGGUCGCGUCUCUCGUUCUUCAAGCGGCUCUUUGGUGAAACAAGAACUAUAACUUCGGCCUGUGUCCCUUUUCCUCCUGUGCCGAAGUGUCUGCCCUGGAACUGAGUCCUGUCCGGACGGGCCCACGUACCGCCAUCCGCCCUCUCACACGGCGACAGGCGCUUACCUGUGCACUCAAUCCAGCCCGCACCAGGCCCCUCGGCCAGCACUGACAAAUUGCCGGGCCACCCCGGCCAAAACCCCAGGACACACAGGCUCAGGUGGUGGAACCCUGGCCCCAAGGCCUGGCUGGGCCCCUGCAGCCCAUCACACUCAGGCCUCCUGCGUGGCAGGUGUCAGUCUCACUCAGAGAAACGGCCCUGUGGCGGUGUUGGCAGGUUACGUCCUGGAGAAGAGGAAUAAACGUUUUGAGCUGGUU